UUAGACGGCCAUAGUGGCGUGGUUCCACCCGAUCCCAUUUCGAACUCGGAAGUUAAGCACGCCGACGUUCCGUGCUGUACU
This 81-nucleotide ribosomal RNA is filed under the name Candidatus Woesearchaeota archaeon. The record is from RNAcentral. Lineage: Archaea; Nanobdellati; Candidatus Woesearchaeota.